Molecule: small RNA, 28 nt
Filed under: Bombyx mori (domestic silkworm)
Lineage: Eukaryota; Metazoa; Arthropoda; Insecta; Lepidoptera; Bombycidae
Description: ovarian small RNA-15269
Source: RNAcentral
GAAGUCUAAGUGUAACCUAGACCAGGGG